ACUUAACCACUGUGCCACCAGGCCGGCCCCUUGAAGCUGCCAUCUUGGCGUAGCCUGGGGAAAGUAACAAUGUGAUAAAACUCCAGUGUGGACAUGUGCAAAUAUGUAUGUGCAUUCAUGCACCUUCAGAUCAAUGGCUAUUUUAAAGAAAAGGAAACACAAAGUUGUCAACUGUUCAAUAUAUGAUUAUAAGAAAGAAAACCAAAUCAAUCAGCAAGAGCAAAAGAUCACUGCAACAAAUAAGCACCCAACAGACUCUGAUAAAGGCAAAUCCACAAUCAUCACUGCUAUCCCACAUGAUAAAAGCCAAAUGCUUGUUGACAAUCAGAUUGACGAUGAUGUGAGCCCAUAAUAUUGCCACUGAUGGAUAAAAGGAUCCCUUAGAAAACAGAAGUGGUAAUAAAGUUGCUCGUACAACCUUCGUCUGGCAGUAAUUUUCAAUACGAAAUCCUACUGCAGACUAGCGGAGAGGAAGGCUAUAAAAAGGACAUCAAAACACUCUUCAAUGUUGAAAGCAGAAUGGCUGGAAUCCUGCACAUAUACUGACAUAAACCCUUCUUGUGGGUGAGUGAAGAUUUGGCUCACGCUCCCUGAAGAUGCCCUCAGCCUUCCC
Molecule: long non-coding RNA, 613 nt
Filed under: Equus asinus (donkey)
Lineage: Eukaryota; Metazoa; Chordata; Mammalia; Perissodactyla; Equidae
Description: lncRNA (ENSEASG00005036207.1)
Source: RNAcentral